This 302-nucleotide ribosomal RNA is filed under the name uncultured bacterium. Its description in RNAcentral is "bacterial SSU rRNA". It matches the Rfam family "Bacterial small subunit ribosomal RNA", at positions 790 to 1084 of the family's 1533-position model. The record is from RNAcentral.
GUAGUCCUAGCCGUAAACGGUGCACGUUUGCUGUAAAAGGAAUCGACCCCUUUUGUGGCGUAGCCAACGCGUUAAACGUGCCGCCUGGGAAGUACGGUCGCAAGAUUAAAACUCAAAGAAAUUGACGGGGGCCUGCACAAGCGGUGGAGCAUGUGGUUUAAUUCGAUGAUACGCGAGGAACCUUACCUGGGCUUGACUUGCCAGGAUUACCUCCGUGAAAGCGGAGUAGGCCCUUCGGGGGUACAACUGGUACAGGUGCUGCAUGGCUGUCGCCAGCUCGUGUCGUGAGAUGUCGGGUUAAG